Molecule: non-coding RNA, 81 nt
Filed under: Legionella shakespearei DSM 23087
Lineage: Bacteria; Pseudomonadati; Pseudomonadota; Gammaproteobacteria; Legionellales; Legionellaceae
Description: Legionella RNA 69
Rfam family: Legionella RNA 69
Source: Rfam by way of RNAcentral
AGACAGCGCUACGCGCUUCCUCAGCCCGAACGGCAUCGAAGUAACGACUGGAUAAAUCAAUCUUCUUAUUCCGAACUCACG